CAUCCUCCUAAGCGUGCUUAGGAUUUCUCAUUUCUUCCGCUCCAUUCUACAUCACAGCCGCCCUGUUCUUAUCUGUCUUCUUCGAUCUUCAUCUCGACGGAUCGAAGAUUGAAGAUCCAGCUUUUUUUCCAUUAAUCACCGGUUCCAUUUGAAUCCUAAAACUUAUGUUUUUUUUGGGAUACGGCAUACGGCGGCGAUAGAUGUGGAGUUCUUUAUUCGAUCUCAACAUUUAUGUUCAAUCUUUCUACGGGCUUGGGUGCUUUCGGUCCAGAAUUUAGGGUUUAUUUUUCCCUUUUAUCAUUUCAAUAUGUUGAUCUGAUUAUCUUUUAUUUUGAUUAUGUAUUGAUUUGGAAGCAUGUGUUUCAUUAUAUGAUCGUCACUGAAGGGGUGAAGGGUUUGUGACUGCAGGAACCCAAUUUUUUUGGGAAUUAAUUUGUAAUGAUCCAUAUUAAUAUUAGUUAUCUGAUUGGAUCGUAACUGAUCAAGUUUAGAUUUAUAUGGUUUAGGAUAACUGAAUAAGGAUCAAGUUUAUUGAAACUUUAUACGUGAAUUGUUGUUGGUUGGUAUGAUUAAGUUAUAUGAAUUGAAAUUCGCUCUCGAAUCAUUCUGGGAUGGCAAGAGCAGUGCCGAGGAUCUGCAGACUGUUGCUGCUGAUCUCAGAUCAUCCAUCUGGAAACUAAAGCUGUAUGUGAUCUUUAUAUGUUCUUUAAGCAUUUAGAGUUAUUUUUGCAUCAAAGUCUUAUGUUGAUUACUUCUUUUAUGCAGCUUGGAGUUGAUAUUGUCCCAGUGAGUGUUUCUUGAUCUCAGAUUAAAUGUUCUUUUUUUAGUUAUAGUUUGCAGUAAUGGUUUUAUUCAAAAUUAUAUUUAUCAUUGAUAAUAUUUGUAUUUUUUUAAUGUCAAAUGGGUCGAAUGAAAAUGUUUGCUAAGAGAGGUAGGUUAAAUGAGUUAAGGUAGUUAAAAUCUAUAUUUUUUUUUUGUCUCAAACAGGUCAAAUUAAAAAUGGCUUUCUUAUAACAUGGGGUUGAAGCUGGAAAAGAAUUAUCAAAAGGUUUGGUGGAAGGCAUUGAGCAGAAACCAAAAAAAGGUUGCAAAGAGCAAAGAUGAAGGUUCCAAGAACAAGAGAAAAGAAAAGGAAAUUGAUGUUAGUAAGGUCACAUCUUUUUUUAAGGAAAAUAAAGAACAGGAUAGUGAUGCAAAGGUCCAGUACGUGAUCUUUGGGACUUCGUUGUGACUUUGAUGACUGGAAAGAUUGUUGGGGUUCUGAUUAGAAUCUGAUGUGGAUCUAGAAAACGGUGUUGCUGAUGACACAGACUGUUCAGGGGCUGUUAUACAUGCACAUAAAGCUGGCUAAUACAACUGCAAAUGGCUGCGAAAAACAGUCAUACAGGGCUGGGAAUUAUACCCGUAUAGGGUUGGAAUACUUUUGUUCUAUGGGGGUUGUUAUACAGCCAUGUAAGGCUGUGAAAUACGCUCUUAUGGGGCUAGAAAUAUGCUUGUACAAGGUUUAAUGAAGAUUAACAAGCAUUUUAAAGGAAACUCUCCUUUCUAUGAAGCUUGCUUCUGUUAAUCCUAUACUAUAUGAUUUUGGAGUU
Helianthus annuus (common sunflower) is the source of this 1592-nucleotide long non-coding RNA. RefSeq lists it as uncharacterized. NCBI's taxonomy places the organism in Eukaryota, Viridiplantae, Streptophyta, Magnoliopsida, Asterales, Asteraceae. The transcript is spliced from 4 exons. The record is from RefSeq and is a predicted model, not a curated record.